This 73-nucleotide transfer RNA is filed under the name Gammaproteobacteria bacterium. Its description in RNAcentral is "tRNA-Phe". It matches the Rfam family "tRNA". From Rfam's summary of the family: Transfer RNA (tRNA) molecules are approximately 80 nucleotides in length. Their secondary structure includes four short double-helical elements and three loops (D, anti-codon, and T loops). Further hydrogen bonds mediate the characteristic L-shaped molecular structure. tRNAs have two regions of fundamental functional importance: the anti-codon, which is responsible for specific mRNA codon recognition, and the 3' end, to which the tRNAs corresponding amino acid is attached (by aminoacyl-tRNA synthetases). tRNAs cope with the degeneracy of the genetic code in two manners: having more than one tRNA (with a specific anti-codon) for a particular amino acid; and 'wobble' base-pairing, i.e. permitting non-standard base-pairing at the 3rd anti-codon position. Lineage: Bacteria; Pseudomonadati; Pseudomonadota; Gammaproteobacteria. The record is from RNAcentral. RNAcentral also lists the same sequence under 3 other names.
GGCUAGAUAGCUCAGUCGGUAGAGCAGAGGACUGAAAAUCCUUGUGUCGCUGGUUCGAUUCCAGUUCUGGCCA